GUAACGAAACCUUUUGGUAAGUUGCCAUGGUAACUUACGCUGUGAAUCUAACCUGCUCGCUAGCAGGUUUUCUAUGAAAAACUCUGCGUUUUCCUAGCAAUCCCCACCCUCUUUCGGUUCUUGAAACAGUUUGCAGAGACGGGGUGUCCUUUCCUGGGUUGGCCAAUCGAUUACGAGCAAAAUAUAAUUCGCAUAGCCUUACGCCAGGAGAGGAUUUUAAGACCGCGAUUGGAUGUACUUCAUUCCCCGAUGAAUACCUACGCGAACGUUACAGUUUUUAAUCACAUUCAAUAAUUUAUCUCACCAACAUUCUCCAUCCAUACAUUGCUUAUGUUACACACCGUGGACGUGCUCUCUCAGAACUGACCAAAUGCUUAGCGUUGCUCUCCGUUUCUUUGCCAACGGGAGUUCCCUCUACAACAUUGGCGAUGCAGAACAUCUCGGCAAAGCAACAGUCUGCCGAGCCAUAAGAAAAGUGGCCCUGGCACUGAAAGGCCUACUGCAGACCUACGUUGUCUUUCCUGGGCACAAACCUCUAAGGACCAUCAAAGAGGAAUUACACAUGAUUUCAGUUGACUGAUGAAGCACACAUUCAGUUUAAAUCAAUUAAGAAAUUUGAAAUCAUGUGAAUGACAAUGUUGCAAUCUCAGACUGGGAUGAGUAAAUCCUUUCCAUUUUGCAGGAUUUCCCAAUGUGAUUGGCUGCAUUGAUGGCACCCACAUCCCCAUCAUAGCUCCAUCCAUCAAUGAAGGAGACUAUGUGAAUAGGAAGUCAUUCCACAGCAUUAAUGUGCAGAUUAUAUGUGAUGCAGCACAUUUGAUUUCAAAUGUGGAGGCCAAAUGGCCUGGCUCAGUACAUGACUCAAGAAUAUAUCGCGAGUCUACCAUGAGCAACAGAGUUGCAAAUGGAGAGUUUCAUGGCGACAUGCUUGGUGACAGAGGGUACCCAUGCCAGCCCACUCUGAUGACCCCUUACCAUGACCCUUAGCCGGGCCCUCAGCAGUGGUACAAUGUGGCCCACUGCAGGACUAGAGCCCGGGUGGAGAUGACCAUAGGCAUUCUUAAAGCCCGGUUCCAGUGCCUACGUAGACUGAGGGUAAAACCAGAGAGGGCAUGUGAUAUUAUUGUGGCAUGUGUUGUUCUUCAAAAUACUGCCACUAUUAGAGGAGAGCAACACCCUGCCGUACAAAACGACCCUGAUGACGACCAUCCCCUCCACCCUGCAGAUGUCCAAGAUGGGAGAAAAGUCAGAGACAAACUGUGCCGCAUACACUUCCACCAACCCUGGCACUGAAACACAAAUCAUUACAAUUUCAUGUUGUCUUCUUUAUUGCCUACAAAUGGAAAUGCAACAAUUAAUAUUACUAUAUUGUUCUGACAAUUAACACUCACUCACCCGUGACCAUGCACCCACCUGCAGCUGGUGUUCUGGCAAUUUAAUUUCUAGAUCCGUCUUCUUUAUCUUCCGCCCCAAAUACACCAUCUCUUGGUCAGUUUUCUCCAUUUGUUUUAUCAAAUGGAGUUUGUUAAACCCGUUACCUGGAAUACCCCCCAGGUAGCGGGUUUAACAAACUUUAAGCCUAACCCUGAACUCUGAGUUGAGUUACUCUAAAAUGGGAAAGUCCGACUUUUCGGUUACAGAACAGCUGAUUUGAAUUUGUUAAAUCAACUCGGAGUACAUCCACUCUGAGUUAAGCGCGUGCAUGAGUACUAUGAAAAGCCAACAUCAGUGGAGCUCCGAUACUAGGAUACACCACGGAAACGGGCAACAAAAUUUUUUUUCUUAUUUCACCGCAAUGGAACUGGAAGUUUUAAUUAUGAUUCCUUGGGUGGGAGAAAACCAAUUUUUUUGGUUAGUUUUAUUUGUUUUUAUUUAUUUUUUAUUUUGGUUAGUAUUAGGAUUCAUUCGUCAGGAGGAACCCUGUUGUAAUUGUUGGUAUUAUUAUUAGUGGCCAAGCAGCUAAGCUGCAGAGCACCCAUCGUUUUUGUUAGUUUUAUAAGGGGGCAAGCAGCAGCGAAGCUGCUUUUGGCACCUAUUGUUUUUGUUAUUUU
Long non-coding RNA from Hypomesus transpacificus, 2051 nucleotides. RefSeq lists it as uncharacterized. NCBI's taxonomy places the organism in Eukaryota, Metazoa, Chordata, Actinopteri, Osmeriformes, Osmeridae. The transcript has 3 exons. The record is from RefSeq and is a predicted model, not a curated record.